RNAcentral lists this long non-coding RNA (5806 nucleotides) under Triticum aestivum (bread wheat). Its description in RNAcentral is "long non-coding RNA (TAES_LNC002000)". Lineage: Eukaryota; Viridiplantae; Streptophyta; Magnoliopsida; Poales; Poaceae. The record is from RNAcentral.
AGCAACAUACUAAACGAUCGGGUGCUAAGCUAAUAUAAUGGGUCAUGUCAAUCAGAUCAUUCAACUAAUGAUGUGACCUCGUUAAUCAAAUAACAACUCUUUGUUCAUGGUUAGGAAACAUAACCAUCUUUGAUUAACGAGCUAGUCUAGUAGAGGCAUACUAGUGACACUCUGUUUGUCUAUGUAUUCACACAUGUAUUAUGUUUCCGGUUAAUACAAUUCUAGCAUGAAUAAUAAACCUUUAUCAUGAUAUAAGGAAAUAAAUAAUAACUUUAUUAUUGCCUCUAGGGCAUAUUUCCUUCAGUCUCCUUAUUCUUAAAGAUCCAUUUAUUCUCAAUUGCUUGCCGAUCAUCGGGCAAGUCAACCAAAGUCCAUACUUUGUUCUCAUACAUGGAUCCCAUCUCAGAUUUCAUGGCUUCAAGCCACUUUGCGAAAUCUGGGCUCACCAUCGCUUCUUCAUAGUUCGUAGGUUCAUCAUGAUCUAGUAGCAUGACCUCCAGAACAGGAUUACCGUACCACUCUGGUGCGGAUCUUACUCUGGUUGAUCUACGAGUUUCAGUAGUAUCUUGAUCUAAAGUUUCAUGAUCAUCAUCAUUAGCUUCCUCACUUAUUGGUGUAGGUGUCGCAGAAACAGUUUUCUGUGAUGUAUUACUUUCCAAUAAAGGAGUAGGUACAGUUACCUCGUCAAGUUCUACUUUCCUCCCACUCACUUCUUUCGAGAGAAACUCCUUCUCUAGAAAGGAUCCAUUCUUAGCAACGAAUGUCUUGCCUUCGGAUCUGUGAUAGAAGGUGUACCCAAUAGUUUCCUUUGGAUAUCCUAUGAAGACACAUUUCUCCGAUUUGGGUUCGAGCUUAUCAGGUUGAAGUUUUUUCACAUAAGCAUCGCAGCCCCAAACUUUAAGAAACGACAACUUUGGUUUCUUGCCAAACCAUAGUUCAUAAGGCGUCGUCUCAACGGAUUUAGAUGGUGCCCUAUUUAACGUGAAUGCAGCCGUCUCUAGAGCGUAUCCCCAAAACGAUAGCGGUAAAUAAGUAAGAGACAUCAUAGAUCGCACCAUAUCUAGUAAAGUACGAUUACGACGUUCGGACACACCAUUACAUUGUGGUGUUCCGGGUGGCGUGAGUUGCGAAACUAUUCCACAAUUUUUCAAAUGUACACCAAACUCGUAACUCAAAUAUUCUCCUCCACGAUCAGAUCGUAGAAACUUUAUUUUCUUGUCACGAUGAUUUUCAACUUCACUAUGAAAUUCUUUGAACUUUUCAAAUGUUUCAGACUUGUGUUUCAUUAAGUAGAUAUACCCAUAUCUGCUUAAGUCAUCUGUGAAGGUGAGAAAAUAACGAUAUCCGCCGCGAGCCUCAACAUUCAUCGGACCACAUACAUCGGUAUGUAUGAUUUCCAAUAAAUCUGUUGCUCUCUCCAUAGUACCGGAGAAUGGUGUUUUAGUCAUCUUGCCCAUGAGGCACGGUUCACAAGUGCCAAGUGAUUCAUAAUCAAGUGGUUCCAAAAGUCCAUCAGUAUGGAGUUUCUUCAUGCGCUUUACACCGAUAUGACCUAAACGACAGUGCCACAAAUAAGUUGCACUUUCAUUAUCAACUCUGCAUCUUUUGGUUUCAACAUUAUGAAUAUGUGUAUCUCUACUAUCGAGAUUCAUCAAAAAUAGACCACUCUUCAAAGGUGCAUGACCAUAAAAGAUAUUACUCAUAUAAAUAGAACAACCAUUAUUCUCUGAUUUAAAUGAAUAACCGUCUCGCAUUAAACAAGAUCCAGAUAUAAUGUUCAUGCUCAACGCUGGCACCAAAUAACAAUUAUUUAGGUCUAAUAUUAAUCCCGAAGGUAGAUGUAGAGGUAGCGUGCCGACUGCGAUCACAUCGACUUUGGAACCGUUUCCCACGCGCAUCGUCACCUCGUCCUUUGCUAGUGUCCGCUUAUUCCGUAGUCCCUGUUUCGAGUUGCAAAUAUUAGCAACAGAACCAGUAUCAAAUACCCAGGUGCUACUGCGAGCUCUAGUAAGGUACACAUCAAUAACAUGUAUAUCACAUAUACCUUUGUUCACCUUGCCAUCCUUCUUAUCCGCCAAAUACUUGGGGCAGUUCCGCUUCCAGUGACCAGUCUGCUUGCAGUAAAAGCACUCAGUUUCAGGCUUAGGUCCAGACUUGGGUUUCUUCUCUUGAGCAGCAACUUGCUUGCCGUUCUUUUUGAAGUUCCCCUUCUUCUUCCCUUUGCCCUUUUUCUUGAAACUAGUGGUUUUGUUAACCAUCAACACUUGAUGCUCCUUUUUGAUUUCUACCUCCGCAGCUUUCAGCAUUGCGAAGAGCUCGGGAAUAGUCUUGUUCAUCCCUUGCAUAUUAUAGUUCAUCACGAAGCUCUUGUAGCUUGGUGGCAGUGAUUGAAGAAUUCUGUCAAUGACGCAAUCAUCUGGAAGAUUAACUCCCAAUUGAAUCAAGUGAUUAUUAUACCCAGACAUUUUGAGUAUAUGCUCACUGACAGAACUGUUCUCCUCCAUCUUGCAGCUAUAGAACUUAUUGGAGACUUCAUAUCUCUCAAUCCGGGCAUUUGCUUGAAAUAUUAACUUCAACUCCUGGAACAUCUCAUAUGCUCCAUGACGUUCAAAACGUCGUUGAAGUCCCGAUUCUAAGCCGUAAAGCAUGGCACACUGAACUAACGAGUAGUCAUCAGCUUUGCUCUGCCAGACGUUCAUAACUUCUGGUGUUGCUCUAGCAGCAGGCCUGGCACCCAGCGGUGCUUCCAGGACGUAAUUCUUCUGUGCAGCAAUGAGGAUAAUCCUCAAGUUACGGACCCAGUCCGUGUAAUUGCUACCAUCAUCUUUCAACUUUGCUUUCUCAAGGAACGCAUUAAAAUUCAAUGGAACAACAGCACGAGCCAUCUAUCUACAAUCAACAUAACAAGCAAGAUACUAUCAGAUACUAAGUUCAUGAUAAGUUUAAGUUCAGUUAAUCAAAUUACUUAAGAACUCCCACUUAGAUAGACAUCCCUCUAAUCCUCUAAGUGAUCACGUGAUCCAAAUCAACUAAACCAUAACCGAUCAUCACGUGAGAUGGAGUAGUUUUCACUGGUGAACAUCGUUAUGUUGAUCAUAUCUACUAUAUGAUUCAUGCUCGACCUUUCGGUCUCCGUGUUCCGAGGCCAUAUCUGCAUAUGCUAGGCUCGUCAAGUUUAACCUGAGUAUUCUGCGUGUGCAAAACUGGCUUGCACCCGUUGUAGAUGGACGUAGAGCUUAUCACACCCGAUCAUCACGUGGUGUCUGGGCACGACGAACUUUGGCAACAGUGCAUACUCAGGGAGAACACUUCUUGAUAAUUUAGUGAGAGAUCAUCUUAUAAUGCUACCGUCAAUCAAAGCAAGAUAAGAUGCAUAAAAGGAUAAACAUCACAUGCAAUCAAUAUAAGUGAUAUGAUAUGGCCAUCAUCAUCUUGUGCUUGUGAUCUCCAUCUCCGAAGCACCGUCAUGAUCACCAUCAUUACCGGCGCGACACCUUGAUCUCCAUCGUAGCAUCGUUGUCGUCUCGCCGAUCUUAUGCUUCCACGACUAUCACUACCGCUUAGUAAUAAAGUAAAGCAUUACAUCGCGAUUGCAUUGCAUACAAUAAAGCGACAACCAUAUGGCUCCUGCCAGUUGCCGAUAACUCGGUUACAAAACAUGAUCAUCUCAUACAAUAAAAUUUAGCAUCAUGCCUUGACCAUAUCACAUCACAACAUGCCCUGCAAAAACAAGUUAGACGUCCUCUACUUUGUUGUUGCAAGUUUUACGUGGCUGCUACGGGCUUAAGCAAGAACUCAUCUCACCUACGCAUCAAAACCACAACGAUAGUUUGUCAAAUAGACUCCGUUUUAACCUUCUCAAGGACCGGGCGUAGCCAUACUCGGUUCAACUAAAGUUGGAGAGACAGUCUCCCGCAAGCCAUCUAUGUGCAAAGCACGUCGAGGGAACCGGUCUCGCGUAAGCGUACGCGUAAGGUUGGUCUGGGUCGUCUCGUCCAACAAUACCGCCGAACCAAAGUAUGACAUGCUGGUAGGCAGUAUGACUUGUAUCGCCCACAACUCACUUGUGUUCUACUCGUGCACAUAACAUCAAACCAUAAAACCUAGGCUCCGAUGCCACUGUUAGGGAACGUAGUAAUUUCAAAAAAAUUUCCUACGCACACGCAAGAUCAUGGUGAUGCAUAGCAACGAGUGGAGAGUAUGAUCUACGUACCCUUGUAGAUCGCAACGGAAGCGUUGACACAACAUGGAGGAAGUAGUCGUACGUCUUCUUCCCGAUCCGACCGAUCCAAGCACCGUUACUCCGGCACCUCCGAGUUCUUAGCACACGUUCAGCUCGAUGACGAUCCUCGGGCUCCGAUCCAGCAAAGCGUCGAGGAAGAGUUCCGUCAGCACGACGGCGUGGUGACGAUCUUGAUGUACUACCGACGCAGGGCUUCGCCUAAGCACUGCAACAAUAUGAUCGAGGUGGAAUUUGGUGGCAGGGGGCACCGCACACGGCUAAGGAAAGAUCUCAAUGAUCAAUUGUGUGUCUAGAGGUGCCCCCUGCCCCCGUAUAUAAAGGGGCAAAGGGGGAGGGGUGCAGCAGCCAUAGGAGGAGUCCUACUCCCGCUGGGAGUAGGACUCCCCUUCCAAUCCUAUUCCAAAUAGGACUCCCCAAGUGGGGAAAGAGAGAGGGGUUGGCCGGCCACCUUCCCUAGUCCUAAUAGGACUAGGGGAAGGGGGGGGAGCGCGCAGCCCAUGGGGCAGCCCUUUCACCUUUCCACCAAGGCCCAUGUUGGCCCAUUUGCAUUCCGGGGGGUUCCGGUAACCUCCCGGUAAUCCGGUAAAAUUCCCGAUUUCACCCGGAACACUUCCGAUGUCCAAACAUAGGCUUCCAAUAUAUCAAUCUUUAUGUCUCGACCAUUUCGAGACUCCUCGUCAUGUCCGUGAUCACAUCCGGGACUCCGAACAACCUUCGGUACAUCAAAAUGCAUAAACUCAUAAUAUAACUGUCAUCGUAACGUUAAGCGUGCGGACCCUACGGUUCGAGAACAAUGUAGACAUGACCGAGACACAUCUCCAGUCAAUAACCAAUAGCGGGACCUGGAUGUCCAUAUUGGCUCCUACAUAUUCUACGAAGAUCUUUAUCGGUCAGACCGCAUAACAACAUACGUUGUUCCCUUUGUCAUCGGUAUGUUACUUGCCCGAGAUUCGAUCGUCGGUAUCCAAUACCUAGUUCAAUCUCGUUACCGGCAAGUCUCUUUACUCGUUCCGUAAUACAUCAUCCUGCAACUAACUCAUUAGUUGCAAUGCUUGCAAGGCUUAAAUGAUGUGCAUUACCGAGAGGGCCCAGAGAUACCUCUCCGAUGAUCGGAGUGACAAAUCCUAAUCUCGAAAUACGCCAACCCAACAUCUACCAUUGGAGACACCUGUAGUACUCCUUUAUAAUCACCCAGUUACGUUGUGACGUUUGGUAGUACCCAAAGUGUUCCUCCGGCAAACGGGAGUUGCAUAAUCUCAUAGUCAUAGGAACAUGUAUAAGUCAUGAAUAAAGCAAUAGCAACAUACUAAACGAUCGGGUGCUAAGCUAAUAUAAUGGGUCAUGUCAAUCAGAUCAUUCAACUAAUGAUGUGACCUCGUUAAUCAAAUAACAACUCUUUGUUCAUGGUUAGGAAACAUAACCAUCUUUGAUUAACAAGCUAGUCUAGUAGAGGCAUACUAGUGACACUCUGUUUGUCUAUGUAUUCACACAUGUAUUAUGUUUCCGGUUAAUACAAUUCUAGCAUGAAUAAUAAACCUUUAUCAUGAUAUAAGGAAAUAAAUA